Molecule: long non-coding RNA, 27553 nt
Filed under: Chlamydomonas reinhardtii
Lineage: Eukaryota; Viridiplantae; Chlorophyta; Chlorophyceae; Chlamydomonadales; Chlamydomonadaceae
Description: long non-coding RNA (CREI_LNC000229)
Source: RNAcentral
AGGAGAGAGGUACGAAGGCGGCGCACGUGGGCGCUUGCAAACAAAGAGGCUCUGUGUGGCACAGUCGACAACCUGCAGUUCUCACGUAUGCUCAAGCACGCACACACGCCUGGACCAUACUCAUAUCCAUACCUGCCACAUUCCCGUCACGGACAGCAGUGAAACACAGAAAGACACGCCAUUAGACGUGGAGCCGACGUGGCUGACACUGCGGGGUUGACCCGGUGCCCACGCGCUGUACACAAAAGGGCUUCCAUCAAUCCACCUGUUCACAUCGUGGCCAGUCGGGCAUCAUUCUUGGCCUUAAAAAGGAUAGCAAGCUAUCACAGCCUUACCGGAAUUCAUCCAAGUAACGACCGUUGUCAAGGCCAAGCAGAAUAGCAUACGAAACGCUUGGCGGAGCGUCAGUGCUUUGGCUGGCAUUUGCAAACGUCAGCUCUAUCAGCAUGCUGGAGACUUGCUCCAACAUCCAUGACUGUUCCUGCUCAUCUUGCAGAGAAGUGAGGGCAGAACUUGCCGCUGCGCACACUGUAUGGGCUUGGCGCUGCGUGAAAAAGUGAUUAUAGAUUAGGUAAUCAUUGGCACCCCUGGAAACUAUUACUGUAGGGGGUGGUAGACCUGCACAAACCCAAAUCAAACGUUUUGUCAGGUACACAGCAAUACAAAAUGCUUACGUUCACAGAUGUAGCCAAGGUCGGAUUCACAUGGCCUGGACUGCCAUGCAAGCAAUCCCUGGCCGUUUGAACAUCGACCAAAGGCAAUUGUGCCACAUUGAUCAACCGCAUUUCCUCCACCCAACAUCGAGGGUGGCGGGGCUGAAGAAGCGUUUGCACCUAGCAGGGAUACUGCCACAGGUGAUGGUGCAGUUGGCUCAUAAUUUUCUCCUGACUUAUCCCAUAAUGCAAGCUGCUCCUCCGAAAACAAUGUGCCAUCGGCCCAGCGUGGUCGCCCAGAAGUUAAGAUCAUAUUUGUCCACAAUGCCAAUAUGGAUACACCAUUAGCCUGGUUUAAAACUAAGCGCUGAGGAAUAUAUGUGUUGACACCUCCAGUCGCUUUGCAACCAUCCAUAUUACCAAAAAUCACUGAUUUGAAUGUUGCUGGUAGGUCUAGGGCCUCCUGUAUGCACAUUUGUAUUCUAGCAGUGCAGAUAGAGCAGGAAUCCUGAUGGAACGUACCUGGAACAGCUUCAUUCGUAGAUUGAUAUCUUGCAACAGUGCCAACCUUCCUCCGAGCUGGCCACACGUGACAGAAGCAAUGUCGAAUGACACCUGAAGCAGAAGUAGUCAUUACAAUGGAAUGCAUGCAAUGCGGCCACAAUCAAGGUUGCACAAUAUAAUACCGCACCGGCUGAGUUGCACUUGGAGUGGCCACCAAAUACUGGUAACCAUUGUAGUCGAACAAGGGCACCCCGCUGGGCUGGGGUGGUGGCACCGCCAGCGGCACUGCAUUUCAGGUAAGACACAGUUGACAUGCAAUCAGAGCUAUCGCACUAAGCAUAUGUAGCACCUUUGCAGACAAAAGGAAGAGCUGCACGUGCACAAUCAACCGGUCUCCACUGGAGUACCAUUCCUGAGCCAACUUCCACCACCUCUCCAGCUGCACAGCUUAGCCCGCUUGCUAAUCCUGCCCCCGGUUCACCAGCUGACCACGCUCUGUAUCCACCAAGCAGACUGCUGCCAUUCUGAUUGGAUGCCAUAGCGGUAGGCGUUGGCAUGUCUUGCCACGACCAAACUGUGGACACAGCCCGUAACCCAAUCCAGAAUUGCGAGCGCGCAGGCAUGACCUACAAAUUGUUCCAACAUUAAAUGCGCAAAUUAAUCUCCACCAGGUAUCCCGCCUACCUGCUUGAAAAUCUUUGUAACAAGCUGUGCCUCUGACACAGUCGCUGCUGAAGUAAGCGCUGGGGUAAACAGGCUUAAACCUGCUCCAGCGGUCUUGCAUACCGCUCUUGCUUGUUCCCGCGUUAAGUCGGUUGAGAAUACCAUGUAAGAAGCACGAUUAGACGUGUAAACCAAGUCAGGCAACGGGGGUCCUGCAAGUCGGCAUUCAUUUCAUCAUGCAUAUGCUGAUGAACAUAUACUCCAGAACGCACCACUGCAAGCGUAUGGAAGCUGAGAUUCACAAGAUACCUUGACCAACGCUGACGAUGUCACAUUCACAGCCACGCAUACACGCUCCAAUUGAAGCGAGUCUGCAAGCUCACCAAAUCCUGCAACACCAGCUGCCCAAUUCAAGAGAUAAGACGAGCCAUCACGCCAGCUAGCUGCUGUAAGCCCUGUAGACAGCUUAGAAAGUACAAGACCAAUGUGCACCAAACUAGUGUUCGUAAACUGGAGAAAUGGACUCAAUUGCGUUGCUAGGGACCGAACUGUGGAUGGCGAUGCCAAUACUGCCAGACGUGAAGGGUUGUGGGGCUGCUGCCUAAGCAUCAGCUCGGAUGGCCAAAUCCCAUCCUCCUGCAGCCACAUAAACCAUGCAAUGCGAACAUGCAGGUGGGUAAGAGCAAUUUGAUGUUUUGGGUGACUUACCUGGUUUUCUCGUGAGCAAGCACUGUCAGCCUCAUCGGCUGGCAGCCAUUUUGCAGGCAACAUAUAACCCGUGUAGCGCGUGUCAUUGAUGAUGGUCACCAAGGACGGUUUGCUUCCAGGACCUGCCAUAGCAAUUAAAGUUAACCACCAGAACACACAUGCGCGCAUACUCGAACGUACGUUUGCAGAUGAAGGCCGAUACACGCGACUUGCACGGCAAUAUAAUGUAAGUGCCGGGCCCGCCUUUAGACUGUGGAGACACGUCCCACGCAACGCAGCCAGCUGACAUACCCUCGCUAACAGUACCAUUAAGCGUUGAAGUAUUGGUACCCCAGCGUGCUUGCCAUUGCAACAGCGCAGAUGCAAGCACCGCAGAUGGCGGACCAGCCCCAUUCCAGAUACGCUCCGAGCCAUCCACAUACUCAAGUUUCAGUGUAGCGGUGUCAGUGGACAUUUUUGCAGUGGACGACGUAUCAUCGCCUGCCAAUACCACCAUAGCACGCACCCCAACCCAAAUGGCGGCUGAUAUGCUGAAAUUAUUAGACCAUGAAGCAACAUUGGCCAGGGCUGCCUCAUGCUCGGGUGUACUUUCCACACUCAUUAACGAGCCGCCGACGUGCUCACAAGUUGCUUGGGCGGUAUCGAAACUCAAGCCACCAAGGUAAUCUACAUCGGUUAUUCCUAAAGAAGGCAUGUACACUAGAUAUUCCCAACCACCCCAUGUCCAACUUGCUGCUGGCUCAGGCAGCGGAGAGACAGCUGUCAUUGCAAAUGCAUUAGCCACGACACAGGUUGACAACACUGUAAAGCAUUUGGCUAACCUUUGCAUAUGAACGGCAGUUCCUGCUGUGAGCAAGGCGCUGUGUACCAUGCAGAGCUCUUGGGCUCGCCAGAAACAAGAAGGCGCACACACAAUGCAUCUGCGCUGUUCAGAGCAGAGUUGUUGGAGUCGUUGCUCGGAACAAUAGCCAUAUCAUGCGGCUGGCCAGGCGCCCAGUUAGUGUAAGUUACACCAGUGCCAUCCGUAAACCUGUUAAGCACCUACUCAUUGCGCUCUUCAAAACAUGCAACAUAUGCGAGCGUUCUUACCGAAAUGUAGAUGGCACUGGUGCACUGCGCUGCAGUCCGAUCCAGACACUCGCGCUCUUGUUACUUGAUGGCACAAGCAGCAGCCCAGCAGAAACAUCAACCGAAGUCGUCACGUUGCCAGCAUUCGUUGCCAUGUCUGUGAGCAGCACAGCCGCACGCUCCUCAUCAGAUGUACGGAGAGAUGCGAGUGAACCCUUCAUCACAAGUCCAGAGAAAUCACUACUGCUGCCCCCAGAACCUGAAGAGCUGCUAGAGCAUAUAGACUGUGCAACAACAGCUGAUGCUGCCUCUGGGUAGUAUGACAGUCGGAACCCAUCAAAAUCCAGGUACAUAGAAGGAAAUGUUCCACCUGUGCGUUAGCACCGUACAGCAAACGUUUGUUCGCAUUUGAUACAUAAGAAAUCCAUACCUUUGCAUAUAUAGAAAUAUGUACUCAAGCAACUAGUAAAGAUAGCUUUGCCAGUUGCAACGUCAAUCCCUAUGCAGCUUCCCACCGAAGCAUUUGAUGGUGACGGGAGCUGUAGAUAGCGCGCGAUCUCCGAGUCCAUAUCAAAGGGAGUGCCAUCGCGCCAAAUGUACUUUAGCACCGUGACAUUGGAGCUUGCAUCAACCACGAAGCGCUUCAGAGAUAAUCCAGACCAAAAGGCAGCGACGGUACUAAGCUGCGUGCUAUCAAUUGCCUGCAAGGCAUGCGCGGCGUGAGCAGCAGGACUCGCUAUCGGACGGCUGCAAGUAUGACCGUACCGUGACAUCAAACGCGGCCACAUCCUGAAUCAUGGAGACGCCCAACUCUUGCAAGUCGGUAACACUCUGAAAUGACACUGGGUGUCGAUCAAUAGCCCUGCAUGCCGCAUCCGCGUCCGACUCCGUUGCUGGACGCCAUGUAAAGUAAUAAUAGUAAUACGCAGCACGCAGCACUCGUCGUGCAUACUGCCAACGUGGAUCCGCAUCAGGAACUGAAAGAGCGGUGCAUUUGUGAGCUUGCUGCUACAAAGAAAUGUCGCCUAGCUAGGCCGUACCUCGGCAUAUGAAAGGGAGUGGUAUAGCGCAGCCAUGGGAAAUCCAACCUCGUGACGAGACAGCAAAGCACAAGGGCUGUGACGUGUUGGACGUGACCAACGUGUUGACUCUGAGUGCAUUUGAAUAGUCAUAAAAACUUCCAUCCAUCCAUCUUGGACUUAGGCUAUUAAACAGGGCGAGACCAAUCCAAAACCUGAAGAGUUUACAACAGUGUAAACCACCCGGCUCUUCAAGCCACGGUACGGAUUUUAUACCUUGGUUCCAUACCAACAUCACCAAUAUGACGCUGGACAGCGUCCAUAAUUUCGGCUUCUUCGCUGACUGAGUGUAUAGACGUCAACCUGCCACCGCGGGUACGGCAAACAGUAUCAGCAUCAGUAACUCCCAUUGAAGUCUUAAACACCUCGAAGCUGCUGCCCACAACGGCAGGAACUCUAAAUGCAAGGUCCGGAACAGGCGGGCUGGAGUCAGGAGUCUGGCACAUGAAACUCAAUGGUGUAUUGCAUGGCAACAUCACAAGUAAGUCGUCCAUUGUGUCGUCUGCCUUGCGGGCUUGCGAGGUGGCCAUCUCUUGCAGACUUAUUGCCAUACAGUGUUCCACGAAUGUUCCUGGAAGAAGCCCCUGUUCAACACCGUAACCCAUAGCUGACACUCGCUGCACGACAGCAGAAGCAACAUUUGACAGAUUGCCAUUUGUUGUGAUAGGCUCGCCGGGCCACCAUGACAAAGAGACAGAAGUGGCCAUUAAUCCCGCAGGCAGCAGUACUCUCAUAACCAGUCCCGUCCAAACUGCAUUAGUUGCAUUGGUGGCCAGCGUGGUAGGACUCUCAGCCGAGGGUUUCCACAUGCGUGUUGAUGUCAUUCGGACCCACACAACAUCAUCUGCCCUUGUGGGUCGGAUUAGCUGCAUGCCAUUUGCUCUGCAUACAGCAGCUGCGUCUGUUGCAGGCAUAUGAAGAGAAGGGUAGAAUGCUACGGUCUGUGUGCCUCUCAGCGUAGUCAGGGAUGGUGCUUGGGCGGACUCUGCAAUUAAUGCUAGCUUGAGAACUAUGCUGCAGAGCUUCAGAGUGAACAUGCAUGCCGCAUACCUCGGCAGAUGAAUGGAAGCUCCAUUAUGCAGGAUACAGCCCGCAUUCGCCAGCUCGGCGUCUUGCCCACUUGCCGCACUAGUGCGACACAGUACUGCGACGCACCUGCUUGCUGCUGCUUGGUAGUGACCAGAGAAGGCUCGCCGGCCAGCCAUCGCAGAUAAGCUACUUCAGAACCGUCUACAUUGUAGAAGCUUCCAGCAGACCAGUAUAAGCCCGACCAUAAGACCUCUACAAAAUUUCAACUAGUUUUUCAGGUAAAUGAUGCAAGCAGUAUUUAACACACUCGACGCUUCACUUGCCUGAUGCACCGCCAACGAGGCGCGCGAGAGCGUCUGCUUCGUCAUCAUUACGCAAAGUUAGCAAAGAGCCACCCAAAGCAUAGCAUGCACUAGCUGCUCGCUGGGCAUUUGCAUAAAUUAGAUAAAACUGGAAGUUUGAGACGCCAAGAAUCCGUGCCAUCGUAUAUCCAGUUUGAGUGCUCGUAACCUCCAGAGAUGAUUCCGGUUUGAGACGUCCUGCAAAGUGACGUUGCGUUAUUCAUUCCUCGGUGCACUUUAUGUAACAGCACCUGCCACUCACGUUGGCAAACAAACGGGAGCUCCGUUUGACAAUUCGCAGCGACUGGUACUCCGCCAGCGGCUAAAGCAACACAAUGUGCGUCUAACACCCCACCACGUGAGGCAGCCGUUGCGUUAAUCCAGGCCAUUGGGAGUCCUUGGCGUGUACUGGGAAACUCUGUUUGAAGGCGUUGCGAAACCAUGCCUAAGUCGCUUGACAAAGGUGAUGCCAAGGUGCCGGAGUCUUGCACACACACCCGGACUGCCUCUUCCUUGGAUAGUUUGGCCUGGGAAAAGAAGCGAAGCUGAUAUGCGCCUGAGAUUGCGAUGAAGACUGGUGCAAGCAGGACAGGGCGAGCGCACAUAACCUGGUGCGUAUUGAUGCACUGCGUGGCAAUCAAGUCCACUGUUGUAGCAAUAAUUGAGUUGCUAGGGUCUCCUGCACUCGGUAAAGACUGGAGCGACGCGGUUCUGUAGCACCAUCCAUCGCGGGGCAUAGUAACCGCGGGUAGGGGAACCUCCGACAGUAAUGAUGCUGAUCCAGAGGAAACGGUAAUUGCGGGCAGCGCAGCUGGAUAGUCAUAAGGAGUCUGAUCCGUCCAGCGCAUUGGCGGCGUAGCACUUGGAUGCGAAGCGUUGCUGAUUGUUGCAGAGCCAGUUAACAGUCCAGUGGGCAUGUAACUGAGACCGAUCCACCAUGAAUCAUAUGGCGCUGGAACACGCAAUGUGAGGGCUUGUCGCCUGAUAGGAUGAUGUUUUCAACGCCAAAUGAUCAUUUCUCAGGUGGACAUCCUGCCUCAGGUACACACCUGUACUCUGUGUAGGCACGGGCGGUCAUGUUUGCCAAAAUUUGCAUGUCACGUGCGGAGUGCAGCGACACCAGAUGUGCAUCAUGGGCACGGCACGCUGACUCUGCAUCAGUGCGACUUGCAGAAGCAUUAAGGAACAGGUACUCAUGAGCAGCAGUGCAUUGAUCGCUGUCUUCUUCUCGUGACCAGUCCAUAUAUUGGUAAAGGAUUGGCGGCCGGCGCUGACCUGCGAUUCAUUUGCAAUGCCCCGCUUGCACCAUUUGCAUUUAACCAAACACGGAUGACGUUGGACAGUACUUACGCAUGCACAGAGCUGGCAACAAAUCGCUGCAAUUGCGAUUCGUCCAUACAUUGAGGGAAUUUGCGCUUGCAGCAGUACAAUUUGCCGUUGACGCAGUUGGUGUUGCCAGUGGAAGGCCGAUCAGGGGGUCAAAGUAGUUGUAUGAGAGGCUUGUGUCUCGGCCAUCUGUCCACUGGUAACACCCAAUGGGACCUUGAUCCGGCUUACAGUCCUCGCAGCAGCUGUCAAUAGUGGUGAGUAUAUGUUGUGACCCUACCAUUUUCCAUUCGUGACUCACUUGUUGUCAUCUAAACCAAUCCAGAAGCUUGCGGCGGAUCCCAGCGAAUUCGCCACCAUGCGAGAACCCGUCGUACGGGGGGUGUCAGCUGUAAACGAAGCCAGGUGCGCACCCAGCAUUUGACAGGCUGUUUCAGCAGCUGCGUACGGUAAUCGAUGACCGAUGACCAGAAGCUCCUGUCCCCAUGGAGUCAGCAGAGACGCAGCUGGUUGAAGGCCACCUGAGGCAUUGCAGGACGCAUCACCUUUCUUGUCGUGUUAUUAAUUGAUUUUGUGCACUUACCAUAGCACAAGUAUGCCAAAUCUGUAUCACAUGGCAGCAGCAUAGCGCGUGUGCUGUUGAGGUCCACAGCUAGGCAAAGCCUCAUCAUAGGAUCGUUUAUUGGCCAUGCAGCUGAUGCAACAAUGCCUGCGGCGACGUCUCCAAUUUGUUGGGAUACAUCAACCAAAGUCAGAAGGGACCCAUCAGUAGAAUACCAUCGGCCAAACCGGUCUGCAUUUAAACCCAGCCAUACCCAGGCCGCUGCAGUUAGGUUCACGCCAACUACAGGGCUUGGCGGCCGCGGGGGCGGGCGAAGCGAUGAAAAAUUUGCAGGUGGUUGCCUUGGUGUCACACUUCCAAUAACAGAAUUUCCAAGAGAUGGGACAAAUGCACCAGACUCAUAUGCCACGCUGAGUGCCAACGAUGAUCGACUGUGCACACACGAGAGUCAUAUGUACAAGGCCAUACACUGCACUGUGACAACUUACUUGCGCAGGAAGUUGAUGUUCGCAGUAGGAAGCAGCGAUGCUGCACGUAUGCCAGUCUGGCAUGCGUUGUUGGCUGCUGCCCAGUCCAAUGGCACGUUGUGUGCUGAGACGUACGCGGUCAUGUUGUGUACUUGGCCGUCCGAAUCAGCACCUGCAUAUGACCCCGCAAUCGCACACCAUUACCAUGACCGCACAUGUCAUUGCCUAAGCAAAUGUUGUGUUCAGACUUACGUCGACAUACAAAUGGCCGAGGCAAUGAACAGUUGAUGCUAGCCCAUUUAAGGUCAACCUUGCUUGUCAGAAGUGGUCCCCCAGAAGCGGAUACAUCACCCGCGCCAUUGCCCACAUCAGCUGCAGUAUCAAUUGCAGCUCUGGCCUCGGCCAUUGAAAUGGCAUCAAAGUAAACGCGCGUUACCAAGCAGCAAUCCACUGAUCGGCACGUAGGCUCAUAGUCUAAAGAUUGGUCGUAAUUUGAGUAGGGUAUUGCCGACUGCAUGGGCAGCGGUAUUUAAUACAAUUCAAUGUGAAGCAAACAAUCAAAUGCAAUGCAGCAUCAUACCGCCGGUUGUGGAUCCUCCCAGUCAUAGGAGCCCCCGUCCCCAAGGAACGGGUUAAAUCGCAGACCAAUCCAGAAGCCUCGAAUAUUUAACCAUGCUGUGAGCUGCACAGAACAUUGUGAAUCAUUGUAGAAAUGUUAGCGAAACAAGCAAUGAUGUCACCUGGCGUGCCAUGAUCGCAGACAAGUAUACAUCCUCGUCGCGGCUCUUCACAGGCACCACAUGCCCACCAAAGUCUGAGCAAGCUCUUGCUGCAUCAGGAAAAGGCAGCGGUGUCCUAAAAAAUGCGUAGGUGGCUCGUCGGUCCGUUGGAACGCCAGUAGCUGGAGCAAAGACGGCUGCCGCAGCGGCAGCUGCACCGCUGGAUGAUGAUGUCGAUGGGGUUGACCCGGUGUUAAGAGCGGUUGAGCUACUGGGACCAGUGGCUGUAACGCGCGUCGUUACAAGGUCUGGUAGCAGUUUACCUGCAGGUGCAGUACGUCAUGUGUAAGAGUGAGAACACAGCGCAGAUUGUAGCCAGACCCACUUGAGCAAAUGUAUGGGAGCGCCACAUUGCAAGGAAGCAGACGCAAUUUUCCAGUAGUCAAGGAUAGUGCGACACAGGAACGGUCUAAGUUGGUGACCGACUUGAGAGUAGCUGCAUUUUCCCACAUAUCAGCUGUUGGCCCCAGCAUUGCAGGCCAGCCAUAUUGCGAGUUGCCCAAUCCCGCGCCUGUAUCCGAGCUGAGUACAGCAUCUUGACUCUCUAGCCAUUGAACAACACCACCAAGAGAGUUUCCCCAACCGUUAUCCCCGCCCAGCCAAAACAGUUGCAGUUGACCACUUGAGCUCCCAUUCGAGGCUGGUGUUUGGAUGCCCAAUGUCAUCGCAGUGUGUGCUGCGGCCACCAGGUCUGCAAGGUGGUCUAAUGAUGGGGCCGGCGCGAGUCUCAUUGCCACCCGCUGGCAAGCGAUAUCGGCAUCAUCGAAUGAAGAAAAGCCAUGAACGUAGGAUGGUUCUCCCGGACUGCUUGUUGUUGACUUCGCGCCAUGGACAUGCAAGACCCGGCCAUGGCGGUACUGGACGACGAUGGCGCCGGGUGCCGGCGGCACUGGCCGCUCACACAGGAAUGCCAGCCGCAAUGAACAAUCUGCGUUCAUCCAGCCAGCUGACUCCGUUGCCGAAGCUGCGGGCGCUGGCAUGCCCAACGCGCCGCAUUGCGUAGUAUACGUUUUCUGCUCACAAGAACGCCAGUCAGCUAACACAAAUUGCCCUGCGCAACCGCAAAGCACACCUGGGGGUAUGUAUUUGCCCACGGAGGCUGUGGGGCAUAGCUGAGCUUUCCACGCAUGCCACUUUGUCCCCACGCGUAUUCCUCCGUUCCACCUCCAGUAGCACUGAAGAGACCAAACCAGCAGCCACCACCCGUCGUGCUGACAGUUGAACGAACUGCAGUGAUACCCCAAUCAUGAAUUGGGUGCGCAAGAUGCGACAGGGUACUCGGUGAUCAAACAGCACUUACUUGCAGAGCGAACGCUCAAGCACAAUCUCAUGGCAAGAUCGUUGAUAUCACUAUUGCGAGCCUCCAGUAACCAUCCACCUGCCUGCUUGCAAACCUGCAAGCAAUCCACAGUAGGUCCUCCAGUUGACAUGUUUGAACAAGUUCUGCAUACCUCGUUAGCCUCCUCCCAGGUACGAAGAACACCAGGCGCCCAGUACAUUGUGUCAUCUAGAAAUGCCGCUGAUGAAUUUGAAGCACCACCAACGUAGUCCAAUACGCGCGGUCUUCGGCCUGCAGAACACUCAAGACUUUGUGUGAGCCGCUUACACGUGAAAGAGCACGUCACCGCUGCUUACCUGGAACUGGACUGAUGCCAAUUGCAGGUCUUCGACAAGCAAACGCCUGCAGUAGGAGGUACGUCAGGAACAAAAGGUAGUGCAGUACGGAUGCGUUGCACUAACUUGUAGCGUGUCACAUGACCGAUCAACCCACUGCCCAGCGACAGCCCCUUGGGAAAGCAUAGUGACACACUGCCCCUCCUUUCCAUCCUUGUUGUCCGGCUCCAAGCGGCCCCAGUUUGUCCAGCCAGCACCACUGGUUCCUGCCCGCAGCCCAUCUGCCACUGUGCGGUUAUUGAACCCAUCCUGCCAUGUCCAUGCAUAGCUUCUUGGGGCACUGCCUAUGCUUGACAGAUCGAUCGAGCUGGAUGCUGCUGCCGAGGUAGAAUUGCUACCAGCGCUUGUGUUUAACUGGCACUGCUCAAGUUGAUCCAUUACAGGUGAAAUGGCAGCAAGCUCCGGCAAAGCGCUGACAGCAUCCAUGCUGUUACCACCUGCUGGAGGAACAGCAGUGCGGGAAAGUCCAAGCCAGACAUCCUGAGUGUUAGCCAACUCAGCCAAGCGCUGGUUCUCCAGGGCCGUUAAAAGGGUGGCUAGGUAUCCACCACCAGGCCGUGAUGCACAAAUCGCUGCAGCAUCCGGUAAUGACACAAGAGGGCUGUUGAAGACCUCCAACACUGCAGCAGAGUCGGAUGGCGAUAUGUCAUAGACGGCCGGUGUUGCUGCAGGCAGAGACCGAGUCAGCGUAUGCUAACUAAGGCAAGCAUUGAAGUAAUGGCAACAUCCGUGUCUUACUCUGGUUACGCAAGGACUGGUACUUAAGCUGCCAGCGCCCCUGUGGGUUGACAAACAUGCCCAUGGAAGUCAAUGCAGACGAAGGAGGGCGGCCCAGCAAAGCGGAAUUCCCCGGCAAAGUGAAAUUCAGCUGAAGCUGGCGGCGUUCCAUGUCGGUGUUUAAUGGUGGUGGCGGUUCAGCCACCAACGAGUUAUUGAGGAAUUGAUGAUCAUGAUCAGCUGUGUGGUCCGCGUCCAAGCUACCACGUGAAUCCAGCUGUAACACCCACAACUCAUUACUGGGCAACAGUGGCCCUGCAAUAAGCUUAAAGGCUCCGCAUUCAAUGGGUUCAGGGCAUGAGUAUGUGUGCUUAACUCACCACCAUCUUGCGGUUGAACAACGCCGCCAAACAUCACCACAAUGUUAUCGCUGUUGUCGCCACCUGGCUCUGAUGAACCAUCCAAAGCCCAAGCAGACAUACUAGCCCCCUCACGAGGCUGCGGCCAAGGCGCGGUUACAUCCAUGCCCGGAACCAACGGCUGUGCAAUCCAACGACCGACAUAGUCCGAGUUAGCAGCAUGACCUGUGCGAGAAUGCAAGUGCGCAUCAUUAUGCGCGCCUAGCAAACGGUGUGUGACCGAGGCACGGCGUACCUGCAUCAAUGUUUGAACCUUGAACACCCGACUGCCAUACCAGAAUGAAAGCAUCUGACAACAAAUCGACAGGCGUGUGCAAUAAGGGGGUAAUAGAGCCAGCGGCGGGAGCAGAAUUGGCGUGUAUGCUCCCUUCAUCCUCAAACCACUCGCUGCCGCUAAGGGCUGAAACGAUGCCCUCCGUCUGCUCUUCCAGCGCCUGGGGCAUCGCUGGCAUCACAGUGGUAGCUCUGCCGCCGAACACCAUUACUGCAUACGUUGAUGAAGCAUAUUCUGGGCAACGGUCGUUGUCACUGUUAGAAGCAGGCUGUAGAGAGAUGGACAUUAGAGUUGCUGCUGGGUGCACACGAUUCCCGAGGACUUCCAGCAGCAAUACAGCGGCUUCCAAGCGGUCCUGGGAUACGCCCACUCUGCCCCCAAAUGAUGCAUUUACUGCAUGUGCUGCAACAACAAGACAUGCAUCCUGCUGCGGAGCAACGUGCGUCAGUUUCCGUGAGUCCUGAAGCUCAACGUGGGUCGGCCAUGACAGGCACGACACCAACGAACUGCCAGCAGCCGUGGCCGAGAGUGAUGUGUGCAGCAUGUGCACUGCCAAUGGGUUUGGGGGUUGCUCUGUCCAUUGGCAAGACUUAGAGUUUAGCAAUGCAAUAUAUGCAAGAAAACUCUCACCUGUGUCUAGUACAGAAGGUGCCAAAGCUAGGAACGCGACUGAAAAAGCUGCUGAGCAGCUAUCAAUACGUAUAGCGCCUAAAACAUGACGGUUAGAAGCAAAUUGCAGGAAUGCAGGGUCGUUAUCCAGACCAGUACCACCCGUUGCUGGCGGUGGGGUAUUGAGCUCUUGGGCAGUCCUCCAGCUGGUGGGCCAAUCACGUACAUCAGCACCUUGUUCUGGCACGAAUAACAUCACCGCCCGGUUUGGUGCAGUCAGUCCGCUGGCUGCUUGCAAUAAUAUAUCAUUCAUGCGGUCACUUGAAGAAACAUGGCACAAGACUCCCGGCUCAUUUGCAUGUGACUGAUUUGAUGUUAUGCUUGAAGCAGAUAGUGCGCCCAGCAAGAGAAGGUUGGCCGGAGGUGCCAGAACAUUCUCUGCUACCUCUGGCUUAACCGUUGCCCACCGAGCCAAUGGUUGUGGACCUGAACCCCCAAUGAACAUUGCCGAUCCGGAGUCGCUGAACAAAUUCAGUAGUGCCAUUGUUAUCGGUUGUGGUGGGACAGGGUACAUCCAUUGCAGAGUAAGUGCCGUUGUGCUGUACUGAUCAACAUCACUGCUGGAGGUUGCAAGCUCGAAGGCCCUUGAAAGGCUUGGCAGUUCCAAGCCAAUGAGGUACGGUUUCCCAACGCUGUGGAACAUGCCGCAGUCCACCACAGUACUACCGUCCUCAGCCACAGGACCGGGCCCCAGUCGCUCCAUGACAAGGCCAGGGGCGGAGGCCGGCCCCGAAAGUCGCAGGCUACUGAAUGGUGCUGAGUCCCAGGGCUGGACGGCUAGUGCGCUUGGGGUGCCGUGUUGCAACGACAGGUUGAUGAUCUCAAUGUAUGAGUCCAGAACGGCAAGUACUGCCCACGUAGCUGACGACAAAGUAGGCAUCGCAUCAUGUGGCGCCGGAUAUGUUGCUCCAAGUCUGGUAACUUGAUCCUUGGAUAGGCUGAAAGAUGACUGCGCGACGUCAGGGUUGCUAGGUGGUGGAACGUUUGGGGUGUUGACUGCCCUCGUCGGCAUCGUAUGCGAUGGCCAUGACCAAGGCGGUGUAGUAGCUUCGACACCAGCAGGUGUUGCCGGUGAUGGAUGCAAAGUGGGCUCCGCGUGUGGAGGUACCAGCGCCAUGGCUGCCAAGACCUCCUGCAGAUGGACAGCUGUUGGGCUAAGCGGCAAGUCCAUGUCGGUCAGACUGUCUGAGCCAGUAGACAUCACAUUGCCAACGAGCCCAUGUGCAACCAUGAACUCCAAACCAAAAAUGUUCACAGCCAGAAUAGAGCGGGCAUGCAGCCGAUGCACAAAGCCGUCUGGUGUCCUGCUGGCAUUGUUAUUGCGUACAGCUUGCAGUCCGUUGACCUGUAACCGCCGCCAAACCCCGCUGCUCCGAUAGCAGACCCACGUAUCCGUUAACCUGACACGCAGGGCGGCAGGGCAAAGGCAAGGAACGGCAUAAAUGAUGCAUGAAAGCAAGUCGACAAUGCAUAAUGGCACGCUUGCACAGCAAGUAAGCCCGGGUAAGCCCACCUUACAAGGAGUCCAGCAUGACGGUUUAGCUCGGAAUAAACCUCAUCAGGCGUGCCAGGUGCCUCAGUCACAUUGACCGACCCUUGUAAAACUGUUCCCCAUCCACCCGAAAGGUAAACUCGGUCUCCAGAAGGAGAUACCGUCAGAGCUGCACCUAUUCGCGCGCGUGGUCGUGCAACGCCUGCAUUUGGAAAUGACCACAGGUUAGACAGUUUUGCUUUCGCAAACGAAAGCAAGUUUGUAAGAUCGAGCCCGGUCAAGCAGAGAGCUAGCUAGGUAUUGCGGAGCCAGAUAGAAAGCGAUGCACGCAACCUACCACCGCUCGUCGCUUGGCCACCCAAAACGCCACAGAGGUGCUGGCUUCUCCCAGUAUCCAUGUCUAUGGCUAUCAGGUCUGAAAGCAGACGCCAGCCGACAACGGGUACUUGUGCCGAGGUGCUUUGAUGACCGCGACGCGUAGCACCUCCAAACACAAAGAGCAUGCGGCCCAAAGCUGAAGCGGCGUGGCCCCAUCGCCCAGGCAGUAUGUCUUGAUUGUCGUCUGCGGCUGUACACAUGUACUCAUCUUUACUGCUGGUGUCGUUUGAAGACGUAUUCAGGGUUUUCUGCAAGCAAGGAAAUAUAAAGGGCUGUUGUGGGCGCAAUGUCAUGCACAGUCGAUGUAUGGUCGGUUGUUAUGUCUUCCCCGCCAGAGUAUUCGAACGCUUGCUUGAUUCUUGCCGAAGACGGCAGGGUGGACUCGCCCCCACACAAGAGGAGCGAGCCCCUUCCGCUUCGUGCCCCAGAUGCCGAUGUCGCUUAGUACUGUAGUUGCACUCGCUGCCAGUCAGUUUCAUACAUAGUGCGCAAUUCGCCUCAGCAAAGUGCCACAAGACAUCAUCACACGUGCAAAAUGCACAGUGGCACAUAGUUACUUGGUUCGUGGAGUCCUGGGAAUGACGGGUUAACCUGAUCCUGGCCUACUUGCACACACGCAUGGCCACACGCCGCCUUGCAUACGGCCGUGCCCUUCCCACCAUGUCUCUUGAUGCAACUUUUACCGCACGCGCAUAACAAACACGACAUAGAGGGACUGAUGGAAAGCUGGGCCUUUUGUAAGUGUACGUAUCGCGAUGUCAAGUGAUUGCAUGCCGACAUGUCAAGUCCGUUGGGUGCAGAUCGCCCACACCGCACGCCCUGGAGCUCCUUGACAUGCUCAAACGCCCAUACCUUGCCACCCCGCCCAUGCGGCAUUGUUUUUUUGUUGUAACCACGGGUUGUAACCCUCCGCACUCAUGCCGUGAGGGACGACCUCCGGCCCAGAGAGAAGCAAGUCUCUGGUUGUGGGUGCGACAUUAGACGGGCCAGCAGUAUUGAUGAACAGAAACCACCACCAUCCCCACGCGCCUCUCACAAUCCACUUAUGUGUUGCUAUGCAUUGAAUCUUGGCUGGGCCGCCUGUCCCAGGUUCUACAAGGAACCCCGUAGACUAGUCGAGAGGCGCGUGCGUAUCAUCACUGCUGCACCACCCUUGUUUGAGGGACAUGGGUGUAGCUCGCUCAGUUGAUAAGGGACAUGGAUGGGCGUAACAAAAUGGGCGUAACAACGUGCCCUAGCUAGGCAUCCAACUAUGGUCAUCAUGUGCAAGGAGCCACAGACACGCACAUACAUGCAUCCUCGGCAAGAUGGCCCCCCACCUGCUGGCUCCUUUGACCGGCGGGAACCCAUGCAUGUUGUAUGUCGUCCAUCCAUCCAGAAAUACCAAGUAAACUGCAAUAGGCAUACCACUCGACCACGCCAUCACCGCCGAGCAAUCCCGCUGAGAGACACAGUGGCACCGCUCACCCCUGGAGGUGCACUUCGCAUGCGCACUUUUGAUGGGAACAAGAAAGAAUGUUGUCGUGCAGCGGAUUGCUGAAAUUGCGCGACCACAAUUCUUAUUAUGUAUGCAUCGCAAUGCGUGCUGCUGUGGGGCCUGUUGCACCCGUUUGUAAACAUCCAUACUAGUGUACGGUGCGUGCGGGACGUGCCCGAAACGCCUGGUCCGCGCCAUUCUUGCAUGAACGCCCAUCGACCCCUCCCAGAAACAAUGUUAGCGCCACCGCCCAAACACCUCCAGGGACAGCAUUAGUGCAGCUUGUUUUGCCAAGAUUGAUAGAAUCAGCGGUGACCCCUAUUUGGGUACAAAACAUGCACGCCCAAACCCAAAUCAUAGGGAAGGUGCGCCAUGCACGGGCACGGUGGAAUAAAAAAAUAAAUAACCCCGUACGCCAACACGGGGCGUGUUCCGAGGGGUUAGGUGUGUGAGGGCCACGGGGAUCCCGGUAGGGAUCCCGGUAGGGAUCCCGGUAGGAAUCCCGGUAGGGUUCCCCGCCCUAGUCCCGUGUCCCGCGUGAGGUGGUGACGCGGCGUCCCCUCUGCUUGGCAGGGGGAGCUGGUGCGUGCCGCCCACCUCCGCGGGCGGGGCUGCUGGCGGUGGGCGGUUACGGCGGUGGGCGGCCUGGCCAGGGCUGACGGGCAGGGUGGCAGGUCCGAAGGUACUGGCAAUGACGCAUUCGAAACUUCGCCAUAACGUGUCUGCGUCAGGCGGCAGCACUUGCCCCACUACUUCCUUGUCCUGCUGGCUCCCAGCACCUUGCACGGGCUACUUUUUGCAACCCGUUGGCUGAGUCACCGCUUCAUUCGCCCCAUCCAGCGCACCUUCAGGGGGAGGUCUGUCGUUAAGGCCAUCCAGCGCCCUUCCAUGGAACCGGGAUUGUACAACCAGGCUCGAUCACCAGGGGCAAGUUGAAUGCCGUCGUCGCCUUGCCGCCGGCCACCGUACGCCACCAUCUCGCCGGCGAUCGCCGUCAGACUGUGGCCAUACAGACUUUCAGGCAGUGCCCCACACCAUCCUAGUGUGUGUAGGUCACAUUCUGCAGCGAUAGCCUGCAGGUGUGACAGGCGUGUGGCGAGUUGGGGGCACGUGUGUGGCGGGUCCACGGCCCAAGGCAACAUUGCCAGAUAUGUUGUUUGCUUGAGAGGCCACAUGUUUCUACACUGGACUUGCCUUGCCACUUGAAUGCAGGACUAGUAUCACCGCCAGCCCCAAGAGCAGCCUAUUGGUAGCGAUUCCUCGCUGACGCUGAAUAAAGCCAGGCCAGCUCAUAGUACUUGGCAUACUAAGAACCGGCAUACGAUAUUUUGGUGUUGACUAGUGAGCGCGACAAGCGGGGGUCAUCUUGACGAACCCGGCGCCGGGAAAGAAGGAACGUAUUAAACGGUGCUCUAGAUUUACAGGUAGCAACUUAAAAGAACUUUUUACUCAGUUGUUGAAAGCAUGCGAACGCGUAAGGCCUUCCUAGACAGCUUGCUUGUGCGAACCGCCGCAAUAUGGAGCUCACAAAACCAAUGCAGCUCGAAUACAGACUGCAAUGCCAUGACGCGCCACAGGAGGUCGUCGAGUUUUGACGCCAAUUCAGCUCAUUCAGCGACAUGGCGGAAUUCCUCCUCACAUGGGUACACCGGCACCAUAGUGACUGGCCAUUUUUAUUUGUUCCUAUACAUAUCUAACAAGGACGCUCAAGUUGUGCAGGCAGUGGCAGCCGACGGCAGUAUACCUUAGCUUCCCACGCGUGGUCUCCGGCCUUCAGACACUUUGUAUUGUUACGCACUCUAGAUGAACUUGAAGCACCAACUAUUCUGACCCGCUAUAUCUGAAAGCCUGCUACGGUAAGCUCGCUUCCAAUCUUCAUCCUGUCUGCACGCUGCGGUCUUGCUCGGCUUCGCCAAGCCGGCAUGUCUAAGUAUAGUGUCUAUAGCUGGCACUAGAUGCCGCUACGCGCGGUGAAGCAAGAGGCACAAUCUCCAAGGUCGUGUCUAACCUAUAGCUUCGCUCAUAACACAUAGCACGAUUUACAAAGGACACGUAAUAUAUCCCGCCCAAAAGUCGGCGUUCACGCGAAAUGAAACGAAUACGCAUCCACGGUGCCACAGAUAAGCACUACGCCCUCUUCCCCACGCUACAGGAGGCGUGCUGGCACACAACUUGUGACUUUCUUCACCUGAGGGCAUGCCAGGAGUCAGCUGUUACGCCAGUAAGCAUGUUUGGCUCAAACGGGGAACUCCUCAGCGGUUCGCAGUUAGAGAUGUUGCGUGUACUACGGCAGCAGCAGGAGCAACAGCACCACCACCAACAACAGCAACAACAACAGCCGCAACGACAACACCAGCAGCCUCUGACAAUGCUGCACCAGCAGCAGGGCACAGGGGACAUUGGCGGCCCAGGGGUUGCCGCCGUAGCGGGCUUCAACCACAUGGGCGCUGUAGGCCAGCUGAGCCGUGGUUCCCAUAGCCAUGCCAUGAGCCGAGCUGCGGCGGGGCUUCAUUCCGAGGGAUUGGCCCACAGUGGCCUUGGACGCAGCAUGGAGGACCAGGCCAGCGGGCUGCAGGCUCUGGCAGAGGACGAAGGCAUGGCUACAGCUCACGCUGUACGACGAGGUGCAGCUUCCGUGGCUGCCGCAUCGGCAGCUGCCAGCGCUGCACACCACUCCAUGGCUACGGGCGCCGGCACGAGCCCAGCCCACGUCAGCGGCCUCUUUGCACAAGAUGGCGUAGCCUCGCAGCUUUUGUUGCGAAUGGCAAGGAUGCCGGGCGGCCCAGGAGUUAGGGGUGCGGCCUUAGGGCACCUGCUGCGUCACCUGCAGCCGGCUAAUGGCCACAGCGCUGACGGUCAGGAUACCGCCGGUGACAUCGACGCUGGGCCCGCGGAUGGACACCAUCUGCGGCGGCAGCAGCAGCAGCAGCAGCAGCAGCAACUUGAGCAGCAGCAACCGCGGGCUUGGCCACCUGCCGUUGCAACGCGGCUUGGUGAAGGUGCGCUGCUGUCUGCAGCGGAUGCUCACGACACUCUGGCCGCGCUGCGUAGCCGCCGGAGGUCGGACGCAGACGCAGACAUGGAGCCGGACAAGGGCGGGCCACAUUUAAUGAGCCACGCGUGGGAGCAGCACCAGCGGCAGCUUCGAUCUAUGGAAGUGGACCACCGGCGUGGCCUUGCCGUCGGCACCAGUUUCCAUAGUCGCACGGAGGACCUGGCAAUUGGUGUUCGUGCUCACCGGCAUACAGGAGGUUUGCUGGGUCGAGUCUCUGUGACUGCUGGGAGGGACGCAGCCCUUGCAUCGGGGCAGGACGAGGUGCACGUGCAAGGAGCAGCGCAGGCACGCCCUUCGUCAGUGCCAGCAGUUCAGCCAUGGCCGCGGAAGCGAGCAAGCGGCAGCGGGCUGGAGAUGGGGCAACACGGCGAGGGGGUCAUAGCUGUCGGAGGUGCGCAAGCCGGAGCUUCAGCGCCACGUGAGCAGCAACGUGCACACUCUUCAGCGGCCGCCGACCAUGACUCUGAUGUAGAGGAGGUGCCCCCGCCACAGCACACGGCUGUUGGGCACGAAAACGCCCCGCGUCGGCUGCACGAGCCUGGCGUGGGCACUGGCGCAGCCUCCGAGUGGCGGCCGCCAGUGUGGUCCGGGGAGCCAUCAGUGCUGACUGAGCAGCUGCGUAAAGCUGUUCCCUUCCUGCUUGCAGCGGGCAAGCGGUUCGAGCCGAUGGCGGCAAAGGUGCUGCAGCAGAUUCGGGACCGCCGGCUUCAGCCAGAACAGUCAGGGCAAAAGCCAAUGCCUUCAACACACGAAUUGCAGCAGCAGCAGCAGCAGCAGAAGCAGCAGCACAUAUUACAGCAUCACGCAGAUGCGGAAAGUGACCAGGCGGGUCCUGACCGUCGCCGGGGCAGUUUGGACAGGACACCACCGCGCAAACUGCAAGCCACGCAGCGCUCGGUGCCGACAACGGCUCAACCAGACAGUGCUCCUCAGCAGCGCACACAAAUGCCUGCACCAAUUAGGUGGCAUGGCCAAGGAGCGAAGCAGCCAGUCAUAACGCAAGGGCGUGGGGUUGUCGUGACAGCUCGGUCGGAUCAGCCGCGACUUGUUACCAAUAAGUUGCCGCCCCAGACCCGGGUGCUGCCGGGCUCCGGCCGGACACCUCCGCCUGUGAUUCGUCCAGGGCCCGGCCUGCCUGUUCCAGCUUGCGGCCCGUUGCGUGGCAGCGUGCUGGCUCCUUCGGCGGCUACAGUAGCUCCUACCCAACUGCACCAGCCAGCUGCUGCUGUCGCUGUACGCCUCUCUGCAAGCGUGCUUCCGGCGGACGCCGUAGUGCUAAGUGACGUGGACGUGUUACUGACAACCAUUGGCGGACUCCUGACUCGCGCGCCGGUGCGUGGGCAUGGGUGUAUGGGACAACGGGCGUACAGUGUGGGCGGCUGGAAGGGGUUGACGCCUAAGCAAUUCGUCAGUAUUUGGUGCCGGUACAGUCCUGCCCUGUACCAUUGUUUAUUUGCCCGCAGGCAUAUGGCAUUGUCAGCAUCACAGCGCUGCUGGGGCUGCAUGCCAAACUGUGCGUACGCCGCGGAGUUGCGCUGAGCCCAUGGGUGCUGGGCCAGUCACGGACGCUGGCUGCGAUGCAGGCGUCCGCGCGCAGCCGUAGCGCAGACGCCUCUGCGCUGGCUGCCUGCGACACUAAACUGCUGCUGCUGCUGGAUAUGGGCGCUGGCGGCCUGGGCCUCGAUGCCAGCCGCCCGCCGCGCGUGCAGCAGACCUGUCGGAGGGGCGCCGGCGGCCGCAGCGCUGGCGUGUUGGACACGUCGCAGCUGGGCAGCUGGUUUGUGGUCCACUGGUGGCCGGACAAGGAGGCCGACGAGGUACUGCAGGGCGUGGGGGGCACUGGUGGCAGCGGAUCAUGUGGACGGCCACAGCUGGAGUCUCUUCAUGCGUUUGCUGCCCGCUUCCUCCCGCAAGGCGUCUCGGGCCGUGCAGCGGCUGAGGACACGGCUGAGGCAGAGCAGGCGGUGUUGGAGCUCAUCAGCGUGCUGGUAAGAGUCAUGCAGGGCUGGACAGUGCAUUGCAUAUGGCUUUGGGUUUGAGCGAUGCAUAGGACAGGAAGGUUGUUGCAUCCUGACUGCUGGGAGCUGGUCCCUUGAAAUGUUGCAUGCAUGCUGACGAGGACGGCGGCCGUCAAGGUUUGUGAGCUUGCGUCCAUACAUUUCUUCCCGAUUGGCCUGCUUGUGUGCCGCCCGUGCCCUGCCUCUUGCAGCCUUACCCCGAGUCGUCGGGCGUCAAGGGCCUGGAAGCACUAAGGGCUGCGCUCACCAGUGGCAGCGUUCAAGAGCACGAGCUGCUGCCGCUGGCACAGUGGUGGCAGGGCGGGCCGGGGCCAUGCUCGGCUCUUGGUGCUGCUCACGGCGCGGCAGCAGAGCACCAGCGCCUCUACAACGAGCAGCACGUGCAGGCUCUCGGUGACAUCGACGCCCAGCAGGACCCGGGGGGAAGUAGCGGCGUGUUCGCUGCGCUGCUGCUGCUAGCCGAGGCCGCGGUAGAGCCCCAGCCGGCCAAGGAGACAGCGCAGGAGCAGUCGGUGUCGGCUCCAGACACGUCCGUGCGACAGGAGGGACGCAACCAGAACCAACCGCUGUCGGCGCAUGGAGCAGCCCAAGACGCAGUGGAUGGCGGACAUGAGGGCAGCGCAGACGAUGUAGCAACAGAACAGCCACAGGUGGAGCCACCUAGCGAAUCAGCUUCGCCCAAGCUUGAUUAGGUUGUGGGGAGCGCCGGCGGCAAUUUUGAUAGUAGUUUGAAGUACUAGCGUUUUGUGAAGCAGGUGCAGCAGCACGUUUCCUUGGUGUGACCAAGGCAAACUUAAGUUGGCUGGAGUUUGGGGGCCGAGCGGAGGCAGGCUGAGGUUACCAGGCGUGGCUAGUAGAUGCAGGUUGGGCACAUGCGAUCUGAGGCAGGUUUGUAGCUGCACGUCCACAGCGUGCACGUGCGCAAGGAACAGGCUACUCGAGUUGGGUGAUGCAUUGCCUGCACUGCAUUGCCAGUAAUCUCACACCGGGCGCAACAGCCGUGUACUUCAGUCAGGCCUGCGAGAAAGGAAUUGAGAAAGGUCGGUAGCGAGCUUAAGGAAGAUGCUUAGGUACUGGGAAGCAUGACAUUUGGACUCCGGUCCGGGAUGCUCGCUACAUUAGGUAGACUGGGUUUAUUGGUUGCACAUGUAUGGCUAAAAGACGCUGGCGUAUCGUCACCUUGCCCUUCAGAACGUUAGGUGGCAGCCCGUGCUUGGAUUGAAGCCGUUGCAUGUUGGUACACGAAGAUGCUUCACGAAACGAAUGCGCACGGUGUUGGUUGGUACACGUGGAUUGACGUGCUUGAAAAAAUGCAACACGCACAAGCGAACAUGACGUUGUAGAGCCGAGGCCGUGGUACACGUGUGAAGGUUUGGGUAAGCGACGGUGAAGGCAGCGGGUGACCAGCGUACCGAAUGCGGCCAGGCGAACACGGAAUCCCAUACACACCCGGAACACACGCACGAAAUAGUAAGACAGCGCGUGUCUCUGUAUUAUUCGAGCGAGGCUAGCGUGACGUACAGCAAGGCUUUCAGGGAUGGUUGCCGCGCACGAUUCCGCGAGGAGGCAGGGAGCAGGACAUGUGCAACGAUAGGUUGCCAAGCCAAGUUGGUAUCGCGCACCUUUAGUGCAAGAACGCAUUGACCUUGAUGGUAAAGGAAGAAAGAAGCUGGGGGCUGGUGAAGAGCACAGGGUUCAGAUGCAUGGGGCAUGUCCGGUUCACGGGGACCGUUAUGUCCUUGUGUAGGGGAGGGCAUUCAGCAUGGUGGCAGCAUGGGGUCCUGCAAGGCAGGGUGGCUUUGUAGUGUGUACACGGCUACAAACCGUACUGCGUGCCCUCCCCCUGACAUGUGCACCAGGGGCAACGAGGCAGGCAAGGCAUAAUGAAGCCACACAAAUUGAAACAGGCAGGAAGGCUCUGGGAAGGGACAAGUGUUCCCCGGUCACGGGAAAAGGGGCUGAGCCCCUCCACAGUCUGAGGCCGAACAACCUCAUCGCCCGGACAUAGCCGGGGUCAAUUUCACAGGCACAUAGCCAAACCAGGUGCCUAGCAAUCGCGAUGCCACAGCAGAGCUAACCGCAGCCAGACGUAACACAGUUGUCAACAGCCGCACUACUUGUCAUGCCGCUACGCAUGCCCUGCCAGCCCCACCGCGGACCGCUACCUAGACACCAGCCAGCUCCUCAGCCUGCGCGCUUGCACCGCUUCUUGGGCGGCGCUGCGCUCUCCUCCUCCACAUGGCCUUUCCCGCCCGCUCCGCUACCAAGAUGCGCGCACGCGCCCCCGCUGCUGCCGCCGCUGCCGCUGCCGCCGCCGCCGCCGCCGCCGCCAGUCUGCAGCGAUGCAGGUCGCUUGUGCCCCAGCAGCAUCUCCACCAGCGCGUGCCGGAUGUUGGUUGCGGAGUUGACGUCACGUCCCUGCACCUACCGUCGGGAGGGUACAGUGAGUGACUCCCGCUGAGCCCACGACUGAGCCGUCACCCAGCCGUCACCCAGCCAUCACCCACUGAGCCCCACUGAGUUCUCACCCACUGAGCCGUGUCAUCCACGUGUCAUCCCCACUGAGCCCCACUGAGCCCACGAGGCCACGACUGAGCCCCACUGAGCCCCACUGAGCCGUCACCCAGCCAGCCAUCAACCAGCCAGCCGCCCGCACGCAAAGUGGACUCACCCACACCGUCCCGCAGUGGUUGCACACUUGGACUUGGUGAGCACGUGAGCCCCCCCAUGGUACGACCGCCUGCAGGCAGCGCUGCGCAGCGGCAUCUUCCUAGUACUAAUUCUAUGUGUCAUGUUUAUUAAGGGUGUGGGACUCAGCCCCACACCCCUGACGCAGGCAGGCAGGCAGGCAGGCACGGACAAGCGCAACGAUUGAGGGGCCGUAGCUCAGGACGGCGGACGUGGGGGCGGGCGAGAGGCGCGCGCGGGGUGGGUGGGGAUGGGGGUUGGCGGGCAGGGGGGGGUGUUGUGGGUGGGUGGGCGGCGCACGGUGAUGGCAUGGCACGGCGUGCCUGUGCGUAGAGGGGACGGGCGCGCUGUCACUGCUACUAAGCAUAAGACGCAGCACCGGCGGGUUGUGUGCGCGUGUGUGCAAGGGGCGCUAGGUGUUGCACGUGGGAGUGACUGGUCGUGAUGAGAAGGUGCGGUGCGGGUGUGCGUACAUCAGGAAGGGAAGGGAAAACGGAAAUCCCCAAGACGGCAAGACAACCACAGGUCACCGCCUGCGUCUGCACACAAGGUGUCACGCAGUUGCUACCCAACCCACGCUCGGGCCUGCUCAUUAAGCCGCGGCGCUCACGGCAAGGCCACACAUGCCAGCCCUUGCAUCUGACCACAACACACACACACAUCCCCCAUUGCCACGCUGUCAUCACUAUGCCAUGAUAAGUGUAGGCGCGAGUGCGUCUGGGGCAACCAUGGAGGCAGUUAGGUCGUGCCGGUUUGCCUCGGAGCAGAGGAGUGCACCGAUGGCUGCACUCAUUUCCGUGCCAGCUGUUUUGAGAACAGUGCGGCGUGUUGCUGAGCUCCCAAUAUCAAUUGAGUAGGAGGCAUCGGGGGUUAGUGCUGAGGCGCCUGAAGCGUGCGAAGCAUUACAUUGGCGUUACGGUAACACCACUCCGCAUUUUGUUUUCAGGGUGAUGUCUAGCUCAGCAGGUGGCCGCCGUCUUCUGUCCGGGCACUUGCAUGGCGGUUCUGGGACUUUCCCAAAAAUGGCCCGGACCCAGGCCAACAAAAUCUAGCCCUAGAAAUAAGCCCCCGGGAGGAAUGUCUAGCGCACGGCCAGAAUGGCCGACGAAUGUCUGGAGACUUUUAUCUGAGUGAGUGCUACCUGACCACAUCUGCCACCGAAACCCAAGGGCAUCCCUCCGGGGCAAAGAUGGCAGACCGGGAUCCGACAAGUGUUCUCCGGUCACGGGAAAAGGGGCUGAGCCCCUCCACAGUCUGAGGCCGAACAACCUCAUCGCCCGGACAUAGCCGGGGUCGGUUUCCACAGGCACAUAGCCAAACCAGGUGCCUAGCAAUCGCGAUGCCACAGCAGAGCCAACCGCAGCCAGACGCAGCACAGUUGUCAACAGCCGCACUACUUGUCAUGCCGCUACGCAUGCCCUGCCAGCCCCACCGCGGACCGCUACCUAGACACCAGCCAGCUCCUCAGCCUGCGCGCUUGCACCGCUUCUUGGGCGGCGCUGCGCUCUCCUCCACAUGGCCUUUCCCGCCCGCUCCGCUACCAAGAUGACCGGGACCCCGAAGACAGGCGAGGCAACCACCGAACUGACAGAAUAGAGCAAGAAACAGACGCAGGGGACAGAGCUGGACAAGAAAAGGUGGCUCUCCCUCGCAAGGGAAAAGUGGGCUGAGCCCACGCCACGUCCUCCGUCUGAGGCCGAAGGUUCCGAUACUAGCCUCAUCUCCCGGUUUGAAGUUGGCAACUCUUCCUUUGUGGAAUCCGCGUGACAGGGCUGCUUUCCUUGCGACCUCGCGACCUCGCGAAAGUCAAGAUGUCCAUGCAUGGACUCGCGAGGUCGCUUCUCGCUCCAGCCGUUUCACAGGGGACAGAGCUGGAAAAAGAAUAGAAACGAGAAACACGGAAACCCAGCACCCAAGCCCGAACCAUCGCGAGCACGGGAACCACCGCAGGCGCACACACAACAGAGCGCCGGCACACUCGCACCAACACACUGCAAACCGGACCCCGAGCCCCAUGCAGGCCAGAGAACACAGGCAGCUGCUACCCGACCGUCACGCACGCCCGCCGAUCCAAGCGGCCGCGCGCAGCAACAAAGCAGACCAGCGACCACACGGGAACCACCGCAGGCGCACAACCAAGCGCAGGCACACACGCACCGACCCGCAGCAAAACGAGUCACGCGCCCCACGCAAGCCGGGGCACACAGGCAGCAGCCAAUCAACCGACUGCCACACCUGCACACCGGACCAGGCGGCCGUACACACGGGCUCCACAACUAAGUGUCAAAGCAGACCAGCUACCGCACGGGUUGCACCGCCGGCGCACAGCCAAACGCAGGCACACACGCACCAACACGCCGCCAAACCGGGUCAGCACACUAGUAGGGCCGCUCCCAGAGUACCCGCAACAACUCCGCGUCCGCGCGCGCCGCGACCUCUAGCAGCUGCGGCACCAGGCCCCGUGGGCACACGGGAGGGCCACCGUCCGCCACCCGGUCCCGCUCCCAGGCGCAGACGGCACCAUGGAGACAUUGAGAUAGGAGCCCUAGCGUAACCGUACAAGGGCCACCGGGCCCCGCCUCUGGUUUUCACAACGAAGGCAUGCGGGCGGGCAUAACGUGGCACGUUGUGGGUAGGAUUCAUUGCUGUUCGGUUUGUUGUCGGUUGUGCUUGUGCUUGACAGCAAAACGCAGCUGGCCGAAACGGGCGGUGCCUGUACAAACCGACCCCGGCUACGUCCGGGAGAUGCGGUAGUUUUGAACCUUGGACAUUGCAUCAACGUGGCGUGGGCUCAGCCCAUUUUUCCCUUGCGCAAUACACACCGGAUGCCCUCAAGGCCAUGCGCGUUGUAGCCGUGGACUCGGGCUGCGUCAAUUACCUGGUGGCCUGCGUCGGCUACCUGGCCGACUUCAGCCCGCACAGCCACCAGCACCCUGCGCACGCCGUACGCCUGUGGGCCGGCCCGAGAGCCAUCCCAGAGGCCGAGCGUCAGCAAUUGGCGCAAGGCCCUACCCGGCCUCUGCGAGAGCGGCGCAGGGAGCGGGCAAAGCGCCGGCGGCGGCAGCGGCGGCUUCGUGGGGUCGGGCGCGCUAAUGUGUGGCGGAAGCGCCAGCGGGGGCAGUCGAGGGGGCGCGGGAGGCGAGGGUGUGCCCGUGGGCGGUGGCGGCGAAAGCCGCGCGGUUGGCGCGGCCGCCGUUCGCGGAAGCAGAGGCAUGCAGCAACCAAGCGGCGCAGGGAGCAGCGCAAGUGCUACGCGCGUGUGUCUGGUGCUGGUUACCGCAAGCGCACUGGCCAAUCAGAGCGCCAGCGUUGGCAGGAGGCGCGUCUGCAGGAGCAGCCAGCGCUCCAGCGGUGGCAGGCCGGGAUCCCAAGUGCGCGGGUGGCGUAUGCAGCUGACCACACACGCCGCAUUCAGUACCUAUACAGCGGCAGCGGUGGGAUAGGGCUAUGGCAGCUCCUGCGCCAUUACCGGCAGUGGGGCCAGCGGCGGUGGCGCUUGAUUGUUUACAUUCG